GAAAUGCGAUAAUUAAUGUGAAUUGCAGAAUUCAGUGAAUCAUCGAGUCUUUGAACGCACAUUGCGCCCCCUGGUAUUCCGGGGGGCAUGCCUGUCCGAGCGUCAUUGCUGCCCUCAAGCACGGCUUGUGUGUUGGGCUUCCGUCCCUGGCAACGGGGACGGGCCCAAAAGGCAGUGGCGGCACCAUGUCUGGUCCUCGAGCGUAUGGGGCUUUGUCACCCGCUCCCGUAGGUCCAGCUGGCAGCUAGCCUCGCAACCAAUCUUUUUAACCAGGUUGACCUCGUAUCAGGUAGGGAUAUCCGCUGCACUUAAGC
This 314-nucleotide unclassified non-coding RNA is filed under the name plant metagenome. RNAcentral describes it as "partial contains 5.8S ribosomal RNA, internal transcribed spacer 2, and large subunit ribosomal RNA". The stretch from base 1 to 105 matches the Rfam family "5.8S ribosomal RNA", at positions 50 to 154 of the family's 154-position model. The record is from RNAcentral.